CCUACGGGAGGCAGCAGUGGGGGAUAUUGCACAAUGGGGGAAACCCUGAUGCAGCGACGCCGCGUGGGUGAAGAAGUAUUUCGGUAUGUAAAGCCCUAUCAGCAGGGAAGAAAGAAGACGGUACCUGACUAAGAAGCCCCGGCUAACUACGUGCCAGCAGCCGCGGUAAUACGUAGGGGGCGAGCGUUAUCCGGAUUCACUGGGUGUAAAGGGAGCGUAGACGGCCGUUCGAGCCAGGAGUGAAAGCCCGGGGCCCAACCCCGGGACUGCUCUUGGAACUGUGCGGCUGGAGUGCGGGAGGGGCAGGCGGAAUUCCGGGUGUAGCGGUGAAAUGCGUAGAUAUCAGGAGGAACACCGGCGGCGAAGGCGGCCUGCUGGACCGCGACUGACGUUGAGGCUCGAAAGCGUGGGGAGCGAACAGGAUUAGAUACCCGAGUAGUC
This 441-nucleotide ribosomal RNA is filed under the name uncultured bacterium. RNAcentral describes it as "partial 16S ribosomal RNA". It matches the Rfam family "Bacterial small subunit ribosomal RNA", at positions 338 to 795 of the family's 1533-position model. The record is from RNAcentral.